This is a long non-coding RNA of Notolabrus celidotus (New Zealand spotty), 1197 nucleotides long. RefSeq lists it as uncharacterized. The record is from RefSeq and is a predicted model, not a curated record. The transcript has 2 exons. NCBI's taxonomy places the organism in Eukaryota, Metazoa, Chordata, Actinopteri, Labriformes, Labridae.
UAUGGUGAUAUUUUUUGGAACCAAAAUUUGACCUGUAAAGUUUGGAAACGAGGGAAAAUAAAGCAGCUACAAGGACAGAGUUCAGUCUGGAUCUGAGUCCUGGUCCUGCACUUUGCAUGCCUGACACAUUUCGUGGACGUAAUCAAGGCAGCGCCCCGUGAUGAGGAAGUUAAUUAUGGGAACACAGAAGCAGACAGGGUUGUCCUUUGAAACUCUUAUUAUGGAAAUGGUUCUUCUCCAUGAGGGAAGAAGAAGAAGGACAGCAGAACCAGAAGGUGUGAAGUUAAUCCACAGAGAGAUGGACGGAGCAGCUCUCCUCUCGGCCCUCUGGGUAAACACGGAUCCAGGCUGCAGGGAUUACUCUGCUCCUUUAACCAGACCUGAGAGGGAGAGCCGCGGUCCAGCUGGUAUCAUCCACACACACUUUACAGACGUCAUGCUAAACCAACAGCCCCCACACACACACACACUAACACACACACACACACACACACACUCCUAACCACGAGAGGAAGGCCAAACAAACCAGACCAGACCACAUGGUGUGUGUGUGUGAGUGUGUGUGUGCAGAAGGGGGUGGGACAGGGUCAUGGAGGACUUUGAAGACACAAAAGCUUGGCCUCAGGCCUGCUGACCUUUGGGGUCACUUAAGGAGGCAAAGGAGGCAGAAUAGAAACACACACACACACACACACACACACACACACACACACACACACCACCUGCUGUUGGCGCGGGCUCGUGUUUGGUGUAAUGGAGAUGGAGUGAUUCUGCAGACACACAAAGACGACACAUUGCUGAGAUUUACCACAUAACUCUGGGCAAUAAAAGCUCCACAGCAACCCGGUCUGCAUCAAGGGACGAGAAGUGUUUACAGUGAACGCAGGACUGUAGUUAGAGGUUGCAUAAGUGAUACCUGUGCUAACUUCUGUUUAUUCUGCUGUGCAUAUAUGGUGUUAAUCUUAGCUGACUGGGUCCUACAGGUCUUAUUAAGGCCUUAAUUUGAUCUUAGUAUGUGAGCAGUAACCCUGUAAGAAACAGAAACCUGCACAUGAACGACCCUCUUCUAUUUCCUUCUUGCAGUUUUGAUCUCUGAAAGUAGAAAAGAUGACCAGAGAAGCUUUUUUCAAUUUCAUUUGCAUGUACUAUGCAAGUGCCUUUCAAAAUAAAAGCUUAUUUCUAACAGCUGCACACUAA